UACGAAGGGGGCUAGCGUUGCUCGGAAUCACUGGGCGUAAAGCGCACGUAGGCGGCUUUUUAAGUCAGGGGUGAAAUCCUGGAGCUCAACUCCAGAACUGCCCUUGAUACUGAGAGGCUUGAGUCCGGGAGAGGUGAGUGGAACUGCGAGUGUAGAGGUGAAAUUCGUAGAUAUUCGCAAGAACACCAGUGGCGAAGGCGGCUCACUGGCCCGGUACUGACGCUGAGGUGCGAAAGCGUGGGGAGCAAACAGG
RNAcentral lists this ribosomal RNA (253 nucleotides) under uncultured prokaryote. Its description in RNAcentral is "partial 16S ribosomal RNA". It matches the Rfam family "Bacterial small subunit ribosomal RNA", at positions 524 to 776 of the family's 1533-position model. The record is from RNAcentral.